Transfer RNA from Moniliophthora roreri MCA 2997, 87 nucleotides. It matches the Rfam family "tRNA". Rfam says of the family: Transfer RNA (tRNA) molecules are approximately 80 nucleotides in length. Lineage: Eukaryota; Fungi; Basidiomycota; Agaricomycetes; Agaricales; Marasmiaceae. The record is from Rfam.
GGGCGCUUAGCUCAGGGGUAGAGCGCUCGCUUCGCAUCUAUGCCCUGGUAUUGCGAGAGGUCGUGGGUUCAAAUCCCACAGUGUCCA